Molecule: ribosomal RNA, 495 nt
Filed under: uncultured bacterium
Lineage: Bacteria
Description: partial 16S ribosomal RNA
Rfam family: Bacterial small subunit ribosomal RNA
Source: RNAcentral
GACGGACGCUGGCGGCGUGCCUAAUACAUGCAAGUAGAACGCUGAAGGAGGAGCUUGCUUCUCUGGAUGAGUUGCGAACGGGUGAGUAACGCGCAGGUAACCUGCCUGGUAGCGGGGGAUAACUAGUGGAAACGAUAGCUAAUACCGCAUAAUAGUAGAUGUUGCAUGACAUUUACUUAAAAGGUGCAAUUGCAUCACUAACAGAUGGACCUGCGUUGUAUUAGCUAGUUGGUGGGGUAACGGCUCACCAAGGCGACGAUACACAGCCGACCUGAGAGGGGGAUCGGCCACACUGGGACUGGGACACGGCCCAGACUCCUACGGGAGGCAGCAGUAGGGAAUCUUCGGCAAUGGACGAAAGUCUGGCCGAGCAACGCCGCGUGAGUGAAGAAGGUUUUCGGAUCGUGAAGCUCUGUUGUAAGAGAAGAACGAGUGUGAGAGUGGAAAGUUCACACUGUGACGGUAUCUUACCAGAAAGGGACGGCUAACUACGUG